RNAcentral lists this ribosomal RNA (253 nucleotides) under uncultured bacterium. RNAcentral describes it as "partial 16S ribosomal RNA". It matches the Rfam family "Bacterial small subunit ribosomal RNA", at positions 524 to 776 of the family's 1533-position model. The record is from RNAcentral.
UACGUAGGGAGCAAGCGUUGUCCGGAAUCAUUGGGCGUAAAGCGCGCGUAGGUGGCCUCAUAAGUCCGCUGUGAAAGUCAAAGGCUCAACCUUUGAAAGCCGGUGGAUACUGUGAGGCUAGAGUACGGAAGAGGCGAGUGGAAUUCCUGGUGUAGCGGUGGAAUGCGCAGAUAUCAGGAGGAACACCAAUAGCGAAGGCAGCUCGCUGGAACGUUACUGACGCUGAGACGCGAAAGCGUGGGGAGCAAACAGG